RNAcentral lists this ribosomal RNA (316 nucleotides) under uncultured eukaryote. Its description in RNAcentral is "partial 18S ribosomal RNA". It matches the Rfam family "Eukaryotic small subunit ribosomal RNA", at positions 1470 to 1796 of the family's 1831-position model. The record is from RNAcentral.
CCCUUAGAUGUUCUGGGCCGCACGCGUGCUACACUGACCGGCGCAACAAGUUCCUUUCCUUGGCUCGAUAGGCCUGGGUAAUCUUUGAACGCCGGUCGUGAUGGGGAUAGAUCCUUGCAAUUUUUGAUCUUCAACGAGGAAUUCCUAGUAAAUGCGAGUCAUCAUCUCGCGUUGAUUACGUCCCUGCCCUUUGUACACACCGCCCGUCGCACCUACCGAUUGAAUGGUCCGGUGAAGCCUCGGGAUUGCGAAUGCUUCGUGCGGACGCGAGAACUUGGCUAAACCUUACCAUUUAGAGGAAGGUGAAGUCGUAACA